Molecule: unclassified non-coding RNA, 3562 nt
Filed under: Hevea brasiliensis (rubber tree)
Lineage: Eukaryota; Viridiplantae; Streptophyta; Magnoliopsida; Malpighiales; Euphorbiaceae
Source: RNAcentral
AUGGGGAAUGUGGUCAAGGAUGUUGAGGCUAAAGGAUUCAACCCAGGAUUGAUAGUGCUGCUGGUUGUUGGCGGGCUAGUUCUGGCAUUCCUAAUUGGAAAUUAUGCUCUCUACAUGUAUGCGCAGAAGACACUUCCUCCCAAAAAGAAGAAGCCAAUCUCAAAGAAGAAGAUGAAGAGGGAAAGACUGAAGCAAGGUGUCUCUGCGCCUGGAGAGUGAAAUUUGAGAUGUGUUUCCUAUUCAUUACCAGUGUGUUGAACUCUCGUGUUCGAAAUUUUCCCAUCUUUCGUGUCAAGAGAGCUAUGUUAUUUCACUUUUUAGUUUUCAUACUUGUUAGAAAUUUUAACUUCAAAGUUCAGAAUCUGACUUAUAUUUUGGGUAGAAUAUUUGUCUUCGAUGUAGCUUGUCUUCCGAUUGAAAAGUUACAGGACAUCAUCUCUAGAAUUAGGUAUCAGACCUUACAAGUAGUGCACAGAAUAAGAAUAUGUGCCUAGCUGGUGCCACACUUUUGUUCCAAAUUUUAGAUAAAUAAAAUAUUUAAAAAAAAAAUAAGAAAGAAAAAGAGAACAACAUAUCCACGUAAAUUGCAUCAAAUAUCACAGUUUACAUAUUCUUCAUUCUUUUAGUCAAACAACAUAACAGGGUAAAAGAAACAAACUUCAACAAAAAUCUAUAACAUGCAAAGGCAGGUCCCUUCAAGCCUCACGGGCCAUGGCCUGCUCCCCAGGUGGGAUCAUUACCAGGACUGAUUGAGCAUUGAACCCAGGAUGAGGCACCCUGCGACGGAUCUCACGGCCUUCCUGGCAAAGGGCGCAUAGGUGGCAGAAUACAUGGGUUGCAAAAUCACAUGCUGACUCACACUGCUCACGUUGCAGCUCAUCAUCCACACAGCUUCCGCAGCAACCACAUGAAUUAUUAAGUGUCUCACAGCUACCCUGUUUCAAAUCAAACCUGUGUUAAUUAAUGCUCAAAAAGGCUUUCUUUAACUCCAACCUUUUAUUAAGUGGCAAAUACAUAAACACACCUGCAUCAACUUAUUUUCAUACAUAGAUGUCAAAUUCAACACCAAGAACACCCCCUCCCACCAAAUAAUAUUAAUAAGUCUUCGUCUUUUUUGGUAAGUAAAUAAAGGAAAAAAAAUACAACAAAGGGAUGCCAGCCAUGUAUACAAAGUGAGGAAAGCUCAGAAGUACAAAAUAAUGCUCUACAGCUAGUAUUAGUAGUGGCAUUUGAAUGUAGAAUGUCCCUUAAAUCAAGUAUAAAUCAACUAACACGGACUCAACCACAGUUUCAAAGAUACUAACUUCACAAAAACAAAAGGCAAAAUAUAUAAAACUUAACAGAAAAUCAUGGAUUAUAAGGCACAUGCAAACACACAACACUAUAGGAAUAGAAUCAAACAAAUGAUAAUGAUUAAUAGGAUUUAUUUCAGGGCCAGCUCCCUGAAAAAGAAUAAAGAACUAUGAAAUAAGAUGCCACGGGAAGUACACUUUUAUGAGACGGAACCAGAGUUAUGAACAUAAUGCUUAACUAUUGAUCCCACCGAGGUCAUGAGCUAUGCAACCUCCCACAAGUCAGAAUCAUGCCAAAUUAUAGAUAGGGGUGACCAUCAUUUGGUUUAAACCAAAUUACCAAACCAAAUCAAUGAAUUUCAGUUUAUUUAAUUUGAUUUGGUUUUCAUCUUCAAAAAUAUAUAUUGUGUAUGCAUGCAUGCGUUCGCAUAUAUUUUUAUCCAAAAUUAAAAGAUUAAAAGCCCAAUAAAAACUAACUGAAUAAACUGACUGAACUGAAUUGUAUUUUCCGGUUAUCAAUUUGGUUGUUAAAGCAGAUUUAGUUAUUUCAAUGCUAGAAACUUUUCCACCAAAUCAACCUAAGAAUCGACCCUAAUUGAAGAUAUGUAUGGGCAAAAUUUGGAAAAUAACUUGCCUCCAGGUUAAACCUCCGACGAAUAGCUGUACGGCUAGGAUAUGAGAACCAUGGUGCAAGGCAGUUCCAACCAAAAAAUGCAUUACCAAUCAAGUAUAGACCAGUGUAGGGCAAGCAAUGAUUGGCAAAGGUUCCAGGACUAGAUCCAAGUCUCUCAGCAUUGCUUCCGUAAAGCACACAAGGGGCAACACUUCCAAGAAGACCUAGCAAAAAAACAUAUAAAAAAUGGAAGGAAUAGAGUACGAGUCUUUAGUAGCACAAUCCUAUGCAAUAGUCAAGAAACAAAUCAAUUAUAAAUACAAUCUGACAACCUAGAAGCAUUGCAUGCUAUUACUACCGAAUGCAUUUAUCUGUCAAUCCUCCUCUUCCUCUGAUAGGUUCAUCAUGAAACUCGCUGUCUAACAAUCAUGUCCAACCAAACACUAUCAAAUCAGUUCAUUGCAAUUGCAUGGCAAAGGGUCAUAUAAUGCUUAACAGAUUCAAUUUCAAACACUAAAUACUUGUCCUCCAUUUCAGCCCCUCAGAACCAAAAGGAUACAUAAAGUACAAGGACACAAGACCCAAGAAGUUGCCAAACUUAAAAAAAUAUAAUAAUAAUAAUAUAUAAAAAGAAAAAAAGCUAAAAGCUAGGAGAUUGAACCUAUCCAAACCAUAUAGCAUAUGCUUUUUAAUCACCAACAAGAAGCACUAGAUUAUAUAUGCAAUAAAUAAAACAAAUAACGACCUUAUGCAAACAUAUGAUCGCAAUCAUUCCCAAUAAUUCUUAUUAUCAAUCUCUUUCUAAAACUUGUGGAUGAGGUAAUCCUUGUCCAAUUAUAAGUGAUCCAUUGUAGACAAAUGUAAUAGAAUGACAAAGUUCUUGAAUUGAACAACUAUUAUAGAAAUAUACAAUUUGGUAAUGACACAAUUCUUAUUAUCAUUUCUAUUGACUUCACAUAGCAGACCAGGUAAUCCUAAUACAAUCAUUAGUGAUGCAUUCUUUCCUAUAAUUCAAUCAAUCAAUUUCGUCAAUCUUGGAAAUGAAUUUUAAUAGAAUGUGUAAAAAAAAAAACACAAUUGAUCUAGCACAAAUUAUAAAAUAAUCUCAAAUUCAUCAUAUCAAGGCAAAUCCUAAUUAAACAAAGAAAGACUUACAAACUUCAAGAUCGCUGCUACAAAAUUCAUCAUUGCGACCGAGACAAGCGAAGACACUGGAGUCCCACUGAGCCCGACCCAUAGGCUGACCUACAACGCUAGCGUGAUUCAACGGCAACCCAUUAGCGGUCCAUCCACAUUCAGGCCGGCCCAAUUCCAGCGCGGCGGAUUUCUUCUUCUCCAUGGGAGGUGCGGCGACUUUGGUGUCGGAAAUCUUAGUGGGUUCCUCGUCAUGUUCUUGGAGGUUCUUGUUCAAGAGAGGACUCGAUUCCUCGCUGUUGCUGAGGCUGGUGGUGGUUGUGGUGGUGUUAGCCAUUUUUGUAAAGAAAGAGAGAAAUUUGAGAAAUAAGAAAACAAGAAAUCCAGAGAGGUAGGAGAAGAACGAACGAAAAUGAAGGAAAACAAGAUCUAAAUAAAUAAAAUAAAUAAAAAUAUAGAAAAUAGAAGAGGUCAAGAUUUUGAUCAAAGAAGAGGUCAAGAAUAAGAGCCUGACAGCUUGGGC